RNAcentral lists this ribosomal RNA (280 nucleotides) under Cyclothone alba (bristlemouth). RNAcentral describes it as "partial 16S ribosomal RNA". The record is from RNAcentral. Lineage: Eukaryota; Metazoa; Chordata; Actinopteri; Stomiiformes; Gonostomatidae.
AACCAACUUUUUAGCAUACACACCACUGCCCCACAAACAACACAUUAUUUAUAUUAAAUCAUUCUUCCCCCAAGUAUGGGCGACAGAAAGGAGUCUUGAUAGCUUCAGAGAGAGUACCGCAAGGGACCCUUGAAAAAGAAAUGAAACAACUCUUAAGACAAAGAACAGCAAAGCUUCACCCUUGUACCUUUUGCAUCAUGGAUUAACCAGCCUCCCAAGCAAAGAGAUUUUUAGUUUGACACCCCGAAACCAGGCGAGCUACUUCAAGUCAGCCCUCUGG